CGCGGGGAACUGAACAUCUAAGUACCCGUAGGAAAAUAGAUCAAUAGAGAUUCCGCAAGUAGUGGCGAGCGAACGCGGACGAGCCCAUAAAGUUUAUAUAGAUUUAGAUGAAUAUUCUGGAAAGGAUAACCAAAGAGGGUGAUAGUCCUGUAAUCAAAAGGUUUAUAUAAAUGAAGACGAGUAAGGCGGAACCGGAGAAAUUCUGUCUGAAUGUGCCAGCACCAUCUGGUAAGGCUAAAUACUCCCGAGAGACCGAUAGUGAACCAGUACCGUGAGGGAAAGGUGAAAAGAACCCCAAGAAGGGGAGUGAAAAGAUCCUGAAACCAUACGCUUACAAGCGGUCGGAGCACACUAGUUGUGUGACGGCGUGCCUUUUGCAUAAUGAUCCUACGAGUUACUCUUCACUAGCAAGUUUAAGUACCUAAGGUACGGAGGCGCAGCGAAAGCGAGUCUGAAUAGGGCGACUAGCUAGUGGAGGUAGACGCGAAACCCGGUGAUCUACCCAUGAGCAGGUUGAAGUUUGGAUAGUAUCCAAAUGGAGGACCGAACCAGUAUAUGUUGAAAAAUGUUUGGAUGACUUGUGGGUAGGGGUGAAAGGCCAAUCAAACCGGGAGAUAGCUCGUACUCCCCGAAAUGCAUUUAGGUGCAGCGUCGAGUAGAGUGUCAUGGAGGUAGAGCUACUGAUAGGGCUAGGGGGCUUCACCGCCUACCAACCCCUGACAAACUCCGAAUGCCAUGACAUUGCAUCGGCAGUGAG
RNAcentral lists this ribosomal RNA (757 nucleotides) under uncultured bacterium. RNAcentral's name for it is "bacterial LSU rRNA". It matches the Rfam family "Bacterial large subunit ribosomal RNA", at positions 184 to 987 of the family's 2925-position model. The record is from RNAcentral.